GGAUGAACGCUGGCGGCGUGCCUAAUCCAUGCAAGUCGAGCGAACGGACGAGACGCUUGCUUCUCUGAUGUUAGCGGCGGCCGGGUGAGUAACACGUGGAUAACCUACCUAUAAGACUGGGAUAACUUCGGGAAACCGGAGCUAAUACCGGAUGAUAUUUUGAACCGCAUGGUUCAAAAGUGAAAGACGGUCUUGCUGUCACUUAUAGAUGGAUCCGCGCUGCAUUAGCUAGUUGGUAAGGUAACGGCUUACCAAGGCAACGAUGCAUAGCCGACCUGAGAGGGUGAUCGGCCACACUGGAACUGAGACACGGUCCAGACUCCUACGGGAGGCAGCAGUAGGGAAUCUUCCGCAAUGGGCGAAAGCCUGACGGAGCAACGCCGCGUGAGUGAUGAAGGUCUUCGGAUCGUAAAACUCUGUUAUUAGGGAAGAACAUAUGUGUAAGUAACUGUGCACAUCUUGACGGUACCUAAUCAGAAAGCCACGGCUAACUACGUG
This 498-nucleotide ribosomal RNA is filed under the name uncultured bacterium. RNAcentral describes it as "partial 16S ribosomal RNA". It matches the Rfam family "Bacterial small subunit ribosomal RNA", at positions 27 to 507 of the family's 1533-position model. The record is from RNAcentral.